GACGAACGCUGGCGGCGUGCUUAACACAUGCAAGUCGAACGGAAAGGCCUCUUUCGGGGGGUACUCGCGUGGCGAACGGGUGGGUAACACGUGAGUAACCUGCCCUUGACUUUGGGAUAACUUCAGGAAACUGGGGCUAAUACCGGAUAGGAGCUCCUGCAGCAUGGUGGGGGUUGGAAAGUUUCGGCGGUUGGGGAUGGACUCGCGGCUUAUCAGCUUGUUGGUGGGGUAGUGGCUUACCAAGGCUUUGACGGGUAGCCGGCCUGAGAGAGUGACCGGCCACAUUGGGACUGAGAUACGGCCCAGACUCCUACGGGAGGCAGAAGUGGGGAAGAUUGCACAAUGGGUGGAAGCCUGAUGCAGCAACGCCGUGUGCGGGAUGACGGCCUUCGGGUUGUAAACCGCUUUCGCCCAUGACGAAGCUUUGUGUGACGGUAGUGGGUAAAGAAGCACCGGCUAACUACGUG
RNAcentral lists this ribosomal RNA (467 nucleotides) under uncultured bacterium. Its description in RNAcentral is "partial 16S ribosomal RNA". It matches the Rfam family "Bacterial small subunit ribosomal RNA", at positions 28 to 507 of the family's 1533-position model. The record is from RNAcentral.